CAUCGGUGGUUCAGUGGUAGAAUGCUC
RNAcentral lists this non-coding RNA (27 nucleotides) under Bombyx mori (domestic silkworm). Lineage: Eukaryota; Metazoa; Arthropoda; Insecta; Lepidoptera; Bombycidae. RNAcentral also lists the same sequence under 3 other names. The record is from RNAcentral.